Molecule: small RNA, 29 nt
Filed under: Bombyx mori (domestic silkworm)
Lineage: Eukaryota; Metazoa; Arthropoda; Insecta; Lepidoptera; Bombycidae
Description: ovarian small RNA-27583
Source: RNAcentral
UCCGUAUAGUGCCAUCGACCACACGGGUA